AUGAUGCAAAAUGAUCUGCAGCAAGAGUUGAGUUUCGACGGUGAUUGCGAUGUCGUAUGGAAGGCGUGGCUUGCCAGAGUUCGUCGGAUUCAUUUGCAUAUCUGGGUGUGGUUGGCGUCGAAGAAUGGAAGAAAGGUCGCGGUUGGAAUGAUGCGUGUCAAUGAACGGCGGAGUUCUGGUCACACGAUGGAGGUGUUGUUAUUGCGGUGGCAUCUCGGUUUUCUUCUCUUUCUCAACAAUCGAAAUGGAGCUCGAAUGAUGUGA
Non-coding RNA from Vicia faba (fava bean), 264 nucleotides. Lineage: Eukaryota; Viridiplantae; Streptophyta; Magnoliopsida; Fabales; Fabaceae. The record is from the annotation of a GenBank genome assembly.